Molecule: signal recognition particle RNA, 97 nt
Filed under: Spongiibacter pelagi
Lineage: Bacteria; Pseudomonadati; Pseudomonadota; Gammaproteobacteria; Cellvibrionales; Spongiibacteraceae
Description: Bacterial small signal recognition particle RNA
Rfam family: Bacterial small signal recognition particle RNA
About the family: The signal recognition particle (SRP) is a universally conserved ribonucleoprotein involved in the co-translational targeting of proteins to membranes.
Source: Rfam by way of RNAcentral
AAUCGGUCCCCUCGCAAUGAUAGAUAGCGAACCCCGCCAGGCCCGGAAGGGAGCAACGGUAGUUAUUGACUCGUGUGCCGGGGUGCGGCUGCUUGGA